This 59-nucleotide transfer RNA is filed under the name Gammarus nipponensis. Its description in RNAcentral is "tRNA-Ala". Lineage: Eukaryota; Metazoa; Arthropoda; Malacostraca; Amphipoda; Gammaridae. The record is from RNAcentral.
GGUUGUAGUUUAUCAGAACAUUUGAUUUGCAAUUAAACUGAACUUUGGUCGCCCCUUCU